Molecule: unclassified non-coding RNA, 212 nt
Filed under: plant metagenome
Description: partial contains small subunit ribosomal RNA, internal transcribed spacer 1, and 5.8S ribosomal RNA
Source: RNAcentral
UCUCCGUUGGUGAACCAGCGGAGGGAUCAUUACAGGAUCGAAAGACUCCUAUAACCCCUGUGAACUUACUACAAAUACGUUGCCUCGGCGGGUGCCCCGGGUCUCCCGGGGCGUUCAGCCCGCCGGCAGCCUUCAAAUUCUGUUUCUUUGCGUUGGCAUCUCGAGUAUACAAAAAUAAGUUAAAACUUUCAACAACGGAUCUCUUGGUUCUG